This 88-nucleotide transfer RNA is filed under the name Streptomyces galbus. RNAcentral describes it as "tRNA-Cys". Lineage: Bacteria; Bacillati; Actinomycetota; Actinomycetes; Kitasatosporales; Streptomycetaceae. The record is from RNAcentral.
CGGCGCCGUCGGCCGGCAGCCAGCCCCAGGCGUACAGCGCCUGCCGGGCGAAGUCACGGGCGAGCGGAACGACACCGCUCGCGCCGUC